GGAUGAACGCUGGCGGCGUGCUUAACACAUGCAAGUCGAACGCACCUUCGGGUGAGUGGCGGACGGGUGAGUAACGCGUGGGAAUCUGCCCUCAGGAGGGGGAUAACGGCUGGAAACGGCCGCUAAUACCCCAUAUGCCGAGAGGUGAAACGAAUUUCGCCUGAGGAUGAGCCCGCGUCUGACUAGCUAGUUGGUGGGGUAAUGGCCCACCAAGGCGACGAUCAGUAGCUGGUCUGAGAGGAUGAUCAGCCACACUGGGACUGAGACACGGCCCAGACUCCUACGGGAGGCAGCAGUGGGGAAUUUUCCGCAAUGGGCGAAAGCCUGACGGAGCAACGCCGCGUGAGGGAUGAAGGCCUCUGGGCUGUAAACCUCUUUUCUCAAGGAAGAAGACAUGACGGUACUUGAGGAAUAAGCCACGGCUAAUUCCGUGCCAGCAGCCGGUAAUACGGGAGUGGCAAGCGUUAUCCGGAAUUAUUGGGCGUAAAGCGUCCGCAGGCGGCCCUGUAAGUCUGUCGUUAAAGCGUGGAGCUUAACUCCAUUUAAGCGAUGGAAACUACAGGGCUUGAGUGUGGUAGGGGCAGAGGGAAUUCCCGGUGUAGCGGUGAAAUGCGUAGAUAUCGGGAAGAACACCAGUGGCGAAGGCGCUCUGCUGGGCCAUAACUGACGCUCUUGGACGAAAGCCAGGGGAGCGAAAGGGAUUAGAUACCCCUGUAGUCCUGGCCGUAAACGAUGAACACUAGGUGUCGGGGGAAUCGACCCCCUCGGUGUCGUAGCCAACGCGUUAAGUGUUCCGCCUGGGGAGUACGCACGCAAGUGUGAAACUCAAAGGAAUUGACGGGGGCCCGCACAAGCGGUGGAGUAUGUGGUUUAAUUCGAUGCAACGCGAAGAACCUUACCAGGGUUUGACAUCCUGCGAAUCCCUUGGUAACUAGGGAGUGCCUUCGGGAGCGCAGAGACAGGUGGUGCAUGGCUGUCGUCAGCUCGUGUCGUGAGAUGUUGGGUUAAGUCCCGCAACGAGCGCAACCCACGUCUUUAGUUGCCAGCAUUCAGUUGGGCACUCUAGAGAGACCGCCGGUGAUAAACCGGAGGAAGGUGUGGAUGACGUCAAGUCAUCAUGCCCCUUACAUCCUGGGCUACACACGUACUACAAUGCUACGGACAAAGGGCAGCAAGCUCGCGAGAGUUAGCAAAUCCCAUAAACCGUGGCUCAGUUCAGAUCGUAGGCUGCAACUCGCCUACGUGAAGGAGGAAUCGCUAGUAAUCGCAGGUCAGCAUACUGCGGUGAAUACGUUCCCGGGCCUUGUCG
RNAcentral lists this ribosomal RNA (1309 nucleotides) under metagenome. RNAcentral describes it as "bacterial SSU rRNA". It matches the Rfam family "Bacterial small subunit ribosomal RNA", at positions 27 to 1387 of the family's 1533-position model. The record is from RNAcentral.